This 340-nucleotide ribosomal RNA is filed under the name uncultured Pseudomonadota bacterium. RNAcentral's name for it is "bacterial SSU rRNA". It matches the Rfam family "Bacterial small subunit ribosomal RNA", at positions 29 to 351 of the family's 1533-position model. The record is from RNAcentral. Lineage: Bacteria; Pseudomonadati; Pseudomonadota.
AACUAACGCUGGCGGCGUGCCUAACACAUGCAAGUCGUACGAGAAAGUUUGCUUCGGCAAAUUAGUAAAGUGGCGCACGGGUGAGUAACGCGUGGAUAAUCUGCCCUUCAGCGGGGAAUAACCCAUCGAAAGGUGGGCUAAUACCCCAUAACACUAUUUCUGCCUCGGCAGGAUAGUCAAAGACGGCCUCUGUUUACAAGCUGUCACUGAAGGAUGAGUCCGCGUACCAUUAGCUAGUUGGUAGGGUAAUGGCCUACCAAGGCUGCGAUGGUUAGCUGGUCUGAGAGGAUGAUCAGCCACACUGGAACUGAGACACGGUCCAGACUCCUACGGGAGGCAG